RNAcentral lists this non-coding RNA (300 nucleotides) under Beta vulgaris subsp. vulgaris (sugar beet). RNAcentral's name for it is "Bacterial large subunit ribosomal RNA". It matches the Rfam family "Bacterial large subunit ribosomal RNA", at positions 1 to 300 of the family's 2925-position model. The record is from Rfam by way of RNAcentral. Lineage: Eukaryota; Viridiplantae; Streptophyta; Magnoliopsida; Caryophyllales; Amaranthaceae.
GGUCAAGUGACUAAGUGCAUGUGGUGGAUGCCUUGGCGAUUACAGGCGACGAAGGACGUGAUAGCCUGCGAUAAGCUUCGGGGAGCUGGCAAAUUAGCUUUGAUCCGGAGAUUUCCGAAUGGGGAAACCCACUCCGCAAGGAGUAACUCUGACUGAAUACAUAGGUCAUUGUGGCGAACCGGGUGAACUGAAACAUCUCAGUAGCUCGAGGAAAAGACAUCAACCGAGAUUCCGAAAGUAGUGGCGAGCGAAAUCGGAGUAGCCCUCGCGUUUUAGCAGUUUGUAUAUCAGAACGGAAUG